AACGCUGCGGCCGCUGCCGCCAGUCCUGCCGCUGCUGUUGUUGCUGCUGCAGUCACGUGGGAGGCCCUUUAAGUUUCCAUAGAGAGGCCUCUCCGGUGUCACAUGAUGGACAUGAUAUAAUGAAACAACAUUGUGGAGAGGAAAGCAUUAGGGGAGCCCACGGCUACAAAAACAAGUGAGUGAGAAGAGGUGGGAGGAAGAGAAACUACGCCACCUCCCCUGCAGCCGAGCUGCACGCAGCAGCAGCCCGCGGGAAGUGGGCGACGCCGGGGGGGAAGGGAGACCCGGUCCCCAGCCCCGGCCCGGCGACCCCGCUGCCCACCGCCAAGAGAACAACUUUUAGCCGGCAGCCUCGGCCGGCACUGCACCUGUCUCCGGAGGCUCCAUCGCUCCUCGUGAUGAUCAAAGGGGCAUUCUAGAAGAAUAUGUUCUACAAAUAUACAUGCGCAUCAUUUUCCCCCUUGCGUCUCGCUCCGGAGGAAGGAAAGAGAAAGGGAUUUAAGCAGCAACGUGUGUUCAGCCCCAAGGGUGAAAAGAGUUGGGAUAUUUUAUCAUCUGGAGUUUCUCUGCCUCGCUGAUGAUCUAAGCUCAAACCUGCCAGUUUAUGGGAGAUGAUAGAAAACACCCUCUAACAUCUGAGUUGCAAAAAUAUCUGCCUCUAAGAACUCAGGAGUACCUACUUUGUGGGAGCAAAGGUAGUGAGUCAUACCUGCAAGCUUGGAAACGAGAGUUCACUUGCGCCUCUUCAUCCAGUUGGGACGUUUCCUCGGCAACCAUUUAUGCAGCAAUUAAAAGAUGAGGAGUUAAGAGGAGAAAAUGGAAAAAACGGAGGUACUUUUAAUGGAACAGGAUAAACCACUGAACAGGAAGAAAUACGUGUCACGUUAGGACCCAGUGCACGCACUUGCGCACGUGGAUGUAUGGUUUCCCGAUACAUCUUCACUAUAUGACACAAUUAAUGCAUCAUCUCUGCAUGGAAGAGGACCUAGGAAGGUGCAGGUGAUGCAGUGGUACCUUUCUGGCAGUCAUAUUGUCUCCAGGCAGUUGAAGGCCAGUCCUAGGAAGAUGCCAGAGGGGCU
Molecule: long non-coding RNA, 1079 nt
Organism: Mesoplodon densirostris (Blainville's beaked whale)
Lineage: Eukaryota; Metazoa; Chordata; Mammalia; Artiodactyla; Ziphiidae
Exons: 6
Source: RefSeq, a predicted model, not a curated record